Long non-coding RNA from Xenia sp. Carnegie-2017, 435 nucleotides. RefSeq lists it as uncharacterized. NCBI's taxonomy places the organism in Eukaryota, Metazoa, Cnidaria, Anthozoa, Malacalcyonacea, Xeniidae. The transcript is spliced from 3 exons. The record is from RefSeq and is a predicted model, not a curated record.
GAAGCCAUGUAAGUACUUUGACACUGGUAAAGGAAGUUGCCCUUUUGGAUCAAGCUGUUUCUAUAAGCACGCCAAUCCUGAUGGUUCUAUAGCUAAAGUGAACUUACGCCGUUACAACAACAGUAAAGGAGAAAGUUUGAUUGUGAACUCGUCGAGUCUUUGGGAAUUCAUCGAAGCAAGAGAUGGUGUAAGUUUGGAGGAAUUACUUGAGAGUCUGUUUGAAUAGAAACAAUCAAAUCAACGUCUUUCAAGCGUUUUUGCAUGCGAUGCAAAAUUAUUCGGCCCUAUGAUCGACACCAAGGAAAUUUAAUCAUCAAUUGUAUAUUCUUCUUCGAGAACAUUUGCGUGUCAUGUGAAGAACGUUACACCAUUAGUUCGAAGAAAGGUGUUGAUGUAAUAGCUGUCCUUCGCCUUUCGCUGUACGCGUGUGACUCA